Long non-coding RNA from Neopsephotus bourkii (Bourke's parrot), 1959 nucleotides. RefSeq lists it as uncharacterized. The record is from RefSeq and is a predicted model, not a curated record. The transcript has 2 exons. NCBI's taxonomy places the organism in Eukaryota, Metazoa, Chordata, Aves, Psittaciformes, Psittacidae.
AGAUUCCUGUAUGGAUUCCUAGGAUGGGUGUUAAUCUUGAGUCAAGCAGCUUUUAUUGGCAGGUAGCAUUUUGUGUAAUUUGAUUGCAUUAAAUGUAGAUCAAAGACAGGCUCUGAAGCAUUAUGGACUUGGAUAUAAAUGUCUGUUUAACAGAGAUCUUGGAAUAUUUUUACAUUACAAAACUCAUUAAGAAUAUAGCAUGCAAUUAGUUUUACACUAUAGAUUUUUGAUUUCUAGCAAUUAGAGGGAAAAGCAGAGCCUUUAAAUCGUGCAGAUGGCAUUUUUCUAUUGACUUUAUUGAUAUUUUAAAUUUAAACUCUUUGAGCAUGAAUAAGACUUCUUGGGAAUUCAUUUUCCUAAAGUGCUAAUUCAGUAUUUGAACUAUCUAGUCUCUCUUUGUAUAUAGAAGUAUCGAAGAAGGACUUUCUCCUGUGAUGGAAAAUGAUUUGAAGGAUAGGGAUGUAGUCUGAGGUGAGCUGAUCAAGUCUUGGAAAACUGGUGCAGUCGCAUAUGGUCUGCACUGAAAGAAGAAGAGAUUUACAGUCAGCAUAUGUGCAAUCAACAUAAGGCAAAAUGUGCAGGUUUUUCAAGAUCCUUAAGGAUAGAUUAUACUUCUUCUGCAACCUCUGCCUCAAGUGUAAAACUUCUGAUUUCAUUAAGCCUGUGCUACAAUGAUGGUGGAUGUUCCUUAAAGCUUUUGUGAGAAUGUUUCUGCUGUACCUGCGUUGGCAGAUGACGUGCAUCAUAUUGUAAAGGCUGCUUCGAUUGAUGGAUCCUGCUGUUGCUCUUUGGAGAUCAUGCUACUUAUAGUGCGCUGGUGUUACGCUGGUGAACUGGUCCAAUGUCAAGUUAAACUGAAGAAUGUCACCCCUUAAACCAAGGAGUUCAAACCCUGUUUCCUCUACUGGACCAGAAUUGUACAUCCAAGCUGAAGAACUGUUUCAAAAGAAUGUAGAUAAUUUCAACCUUUUUCCAGCUGUUAAAGACAAUCUGUUCUUAGCUUUUGGAUUGGGUGAUCCUCUGUUUGGCUUAUUUACCGUUCUCUGACAUAAGAUAUGUUAAGUUAGAAUUUGCCUAUGCUAGUGAGAGAAGAGAAAGGAAAGGCAGAUGAUUUAUCAAAAUCGGAUCCUUCUCUUCAAGGGGUAUGAGUGACUGAACAGCAACACAGUCUAAAUACCUGGGAUUGUUUUUGUGUGUGUUGCAGCCUAAUGCUAAGAGCCGAUCUACUGCUAAGUGUAUAAGAGAAUGAGUUCAGUGCCUGUUGUUCCUAGAGGAACUGGAGGUGAGCAGCAGUACUUGCAGGUUUAGAGCUGCUCUUAUCCAGACUAAGGAUUGUGAUGGUGUUGACAGAGGUUCUACUUUGUUUUAUUCUCCUAGCACUGUGCUCAUUGAGGGCUGUGCCUAUAAUGGCAUUCAGACCGGCUUCAUAUGCCAGUUACAAGAAUGUUUUACAGUCCUUGUGGCGUGGCAUUUUAUGUAGCAUGUACUGGGACACAAAUGUGUUAGACCUGGGAAUUGGCUCUUUGCAGGAGUUUGGUUGGCUUUUCACAGGGCCACUGCAGAGCUAUGGCAGUGCCAGGGAUGUCACACAGCAGCCUUGCUCUGGGGCUGGCAGUGUACCCAAGGCCCUAAAGCCCAUUGUGCUACUUGAUGUGGAACUAAGCUGCUUCCCCAAAACUACUCCCAGUUCAUUCCAAAACAUUAUUUCCAGGCUGCUUGGGCAUGGGGUUCAGUAGUGUCCCAGCACAAGGGGGGCUCAGCUGCACACCACAGAGCAUGGGGUGUGUGUAUACAAGGAACACACCUGUACAGCACUUUUUAAAGAAGUAAUAUUUAGCACCUUCUUGCUCCAGUGUGCAUGCUCUCAUGUGAUUUAUGAUGACUGUAAAUAAGGGAAUGGUACGGUUUGGCAUUUUUGUCUUUAUGCAGAAGAAUUAAAGACUUUAAAAAUUCCUGUUA